UUUUUUUUUUUUUUAAGGAAACCUUGGCUUUACAAGUGUGGGUCCUUAAUAAAUAUCUAUAUUGUUUGUGAUCUCGAUGUUUGCUUUUCAACAAGAUUUAUAAACUUCUUCCACCAUUACCAAGCAGUUGUCUUACAUAGGCUAGUGAACACAAAUCCAAAGAAUUGCCAUGGCAAAAUGUUUGCAUCAUCUCCAGGACUGGGCUAAGCUGUUGAAAGAAUUUCAGAGGUCUUUCAAUAUCAAGAACAAAUAAAUAUGCAAUAUAUAUAUUUCCCCAAAAUCUUUUAAAAUUACAGGUUUUGAACCAUUUUGAAAAAUUUCUAUAAUCAGGAAUUCCUGGUGCAGUGAAAGUACACUGAGCUAAACAGAAAACCUGGGCUGAUAUUCCAGCAAUCACCUAAUCGCAUCAAACCAGAGUUUCUUAAAAUUAGCAAAUAAUAUCUGCAUUCCUGGAUUGUUAUGUGAGAACAUCAAUCUAAAGACAAAGGUUGGGCAAGAAAAAAAUUACUUUUCUGAAGAUAAAAUCUCACUAUAAAUGAAAACAUUAGGUUAACAAAUCUCUAUAAACAUAAUUGAACAAAACAAAAGAAUCUUCCAUGUAUAGUUGCUACAGUAAUGCUUAAAUGUUCACCAGAGUAGCCAACCUUCUUUCCCCAAAACUAUUAAAAAUGAAAUAAAAAUUUCCUUUUUUUUACGGUUUUAUUUAUUUAUUCAUGAGAGACAGAGAGAGAGAGAGAGGCAGAGACAUAGGCAGAGAGAGAAGCAGACUCCCUGGGAGGAGCCUAAUGCAGGACUUGAUCCCAGGACCGCAGGAUCAUGAACUGAGCUGAAGGCAAAUGCUCAACCAAUGAGCCAUCCAGGAUCCCAAAAUAAAAAUUUCUACAAUGACUUAGAUAAGUCUUUUUAGAAAGAUAUUCCUUAUACGAACCAUAUUCUAUAUAUGGAAGAUGAAAAAAGUUCUGGAGAUGGAAAAGUCCUGGUGAUGAUUGUACAAUAAUGUGAAUAUAUUUAAAGCCACUGAACUGUACAUUUAAAAAUGCUUAAUAUGGUAAUGUUUAUGUUUUGUAUAUUUUACUACAAUUUUUAAAAAGCAACAAAAAAUGUAAAUACCUGAGAAGGGGCCCAAAGAGAUAACAUAAAUGAAAAGGUGUUUUCAGUACAAUACAGUAAUGAUUCGUGGGUAUCAUCCUGGUGAACCUAUACUCUGUUGCUCAACAAAUGUUUAGUAAGAGAUUAAAGACUGAUUUGUGUGAUAAUGUAUUAAACAUAUUAUAGCCAGACACUCUUCCAUGUAUUCAGAUUAUUUCAACCCACAAACCAGUCCUUCAUGGUACUUCAUAGGACUUCAGUUCUUCAUGGAACAGUUCCUUCUUCAUGAGUCUUCAUGGAAUUUAGAUUCUAGCAAAUGUGUGUAGUGGGUAUUUUCUGCAGUUCUCAUCAACUAUGGUCAUGCGGGAAGGUCUUCUCAAUAUUGCCAGACCUUCAUAUUUUUUAAGAGAAGCCAGAACUCUGAUAUUUUAGGUAAAACCUUCCAAUUUUGAAUGUUGGAAACUAAUUAAAUUGUUAAAAAACAAUGUGUGGGCCAAACAUCCAUUGGACAAAACCAGAUUUGGGGAUAUCAUUUUAAACUUCUAAGAGGAAUGCUAUCUAAUAUUCACUACUUUCAUUUAGAUCUAACAUAUGAUUAGUGCCAAGUAUCUGUUUAACCCUUGAAGAUGGUUUUGUAGGUCAGCCCUUUCACUGUUUAUUAGUAAUACUUUGCUUAUUCUAUACUAAGGUAAAACUGUACCCAAAGGAAGGGAGAAUAAAACUGAAAAAUCAUGAAAAAAAACCACUAUUCCCAGCAUAUGAUGUAUCACAUCUAUAUUUCUGGAAGAACACAGCACACUGCUUUCUGACAGCACAAUGACCAAGACCACCCCAGGCACGCAUUAUACAAUCCUAAGCUGUGUUUGUUCAGAAGAGAAACAGAACAAAAUUUAUGAGCUUCACUUUAGCUCAUAUCAAUAUAUUUCAAGCACCAGAAUACUUUUUCAUUUUGCAGGUGGUGCUUUAAAGCUUGUAUUAUAGAUUUUAAAACAUAAUUCUGAAGAAUCCUAAGUCCCUAAGGCCCAACAAUUAACCCUGCAUCAUCAAACAUUUUUAAACCAAUCAUUUACCUCUCCUGUGCAUGCUGAAGCAAAUGCUAACAAGCUCUUUCACCUUAAUAAAUUAAGAGUUGUUUCAAAAGUUAACAUAGGUGUAUGUUCAAACUGUAUUAUGUAUGUCGAUGGGGUGAUCUGGGUUACAAGAAAUUCUUUAUUGUGCAUUUUAAAGUAUUACCUUUCUGUGGGGAAUCCAUUAAUUUCUUUCUGUCAUCCUCCUCCCCCUCUCUAAGCCACCCACUAAUCUAAGCAUUCUUGAACACGAACCUUAUAAGUGUUUCUUCAUGCAUGUGCAAUAUAUUGGGUAACUAAAUGAAAUGCAGCUGGGAAACAUGAAGUAGACAUUGAAAUGACUCAUUAGGCAGCUGCAUAGAAUAGACAGAAGAAAGUGGCAGGAAAAUCUACCAUGAAGAUGCCUAAGGUCAUACAUACCAUUUCCAGUAGAUGACUAGAGGCAACAUUAAAUAAAGCUCUAGGGAAGAAUAUGGAGCUCUAAGGUCCCAGUGCUAGACAACAAUAGAAAUUAAAUUUACUAAAAAUAUGUAUUCGUUAAUAAAUUUAACACCAUAAACCACUGAGUUUGAGACUAUAAUUAAUGGAAACAAAGCUGGGGUAUGAAUAAUUGAAACAAACAAACAAAAAGUAAUAUUUUAGAGAAGUCACUGAUUAAUAGGCAUCUUGGGGCUCCAAAUUAUUUAUUUUACUUUGUUUCUUAGUCCUAAAGUUGAGAAAGUUAAUACAACAUGUAGGUCAUGGAAUGUGGAGCUUGAAAUCCUUUGUUUUAAUCUGACUUUAGCCUUUUUUUCUACCCAGAUGAGUCUAUUCUCUAACCUAAAAAUAAAUGGGAAUAAUAAUAGACUGCAUAAAGCUAUUUCUACAAGGAUUCAAUUAUAUUAAUUGGUGACAAAGUAGUAUUAUUUGAAACCAAACCAAUUUCAUUACUUACUUUAUCACUUAUUAGCUGCCUGACAUAUAGGAAAAUAUUUAAUGUCUCUAUACCUCAAUUUAUUCUUCUAAGAAAGAAGUAAGACAAUAUAUAAGCCACAGUAUUGCAAUUAUGAAGUUACAUACUAUCUGUAAUCUGUUAGCAAAAUGACUAUUAUACACUACAAAAGUUCAUUAUCACUAGUAAAUGAAAAUACCUGGAAAACAGCUCAUGUUCCAAAAGACUUUGUCAAAUCUGACUAUAAUAAAUACGAAAAAGAUAAAUUAUCUUAAGGGCAAUCAUACAUACUUUUUUCUUUUCCAAUUAUGACCUACAUCUAUUCAGAGUUUCUAAUGAUAUCCAGGAUGAACAGCAAUCGCAGUCAAUGCCACACACACACACACACACACACACACACACCCAUGCAUGCAUGAUCUUAACUAAAAAGAUAUUUUAAUAAGGUCCCUUUAGCUAAAUAUCCUACCUAAGAAAGAGAGGAAAGAUAUUAUGAUAUGGAUUUAAGAGAGCAUUAGCUAGGAUAAGCUAAGAAAAAAAGUGUUGUAGAGUUGCCAGUAAACAAUGGAAAGCUAGCCUAAGAAUUCAGAAAAUAAAAAUACUAAUUUGAGAAACAUAGCAUAGACUGUAGCCAAAUGGCCUGGUUUGUGUCUGGUCUGUAACACUUCUGGCAGCUUCCCUUUCUCAGGUGUACAGUUCACUUGGUGAACACUCAUCCAAUUAGCUACCUAAUGCCAUGUCAUUUCUCCAAUCAAAACAUUUCUAAGAUCCUCAUAUUUUCUAACCAUUGAAGUAUAAAUGUAGUCUAGGUUAAAAUAUCUCUAAAAUGAGAAGUCAAGUCACUCUUCCAGGUUUAGUCUCCAAUCUACCCUACAAGAGCACUAAACUCAGAGCAUUUGGGGCCACAAGCUGAGCCUAUGUACUUCCUAAGCAUUUGCACUUCCUUCUCUUCCACAUUCAGUUCCUUCUUCCUUAAAUGCCUGUUUUUCUGUCUACUUCCUUGAAUCCCCAGCUAGUUGAAAGAAUCUCGAGAACAAGUAAUAUUUACAUACCUUUAUACGAAACUUGCUUCAGCUAACAAAAUGCUUCCAUCUGCCCACUCAUUCCAAAAAUCCAGUGUCAAUGGAGUGCCAAUUAUACAAUCGGCAUUCUGAGAGAUACUGUAGGUGCUAAAAAAAUAUUUGAUGAAUUUAAUUAACUCUUUAUCUCUAAUGAUAAUAUGCUUUAGAGGUGUCUGGGGGCUCAGUCCAUUAAGCCACUCACUCUUGAUCUUGGCUUAGGUCAUUCCCUCAGGGUUGUGAAAUUAGCCCCAAGUCAGGCUCUGCUCUGAGCACUGGGCAUGGAACCUGCUUAAGAUUCUCUCUCUCCUUCUCCCUCUGCCCCUCUCCACUCCGUCUGCCCCUCCCCUCUCCCUCUGUCCCUACCUCUAAAAAAAUAAAAAGAUAAUAUGCUUAGCUAUUAUUAAAACAGUAAUAUGAGGAUUCUGGUUUUAUUUGGGUGUGUGUACUUAUUUUAAAGUACUUCGAA
This 4611-nucleotide long non-coding RNA is filed under the name Canis lupus familiaris (dog). Its description in RNAcentral is "lncRNA (ENSCAFG00000051118.1)". The record is from RNAcentral. Lineage: Eukaryota; Metazoa; Chordata; Mammalia; Carnivora; Canidae.